GCCGGAGUGGCGGAAUUGGUAGACGCAGCGGACUUAAAAUCCGCUGGAGUUGCAGACUCCGUCCCGGUUCGAGUCCGGGCUCCGGCACCA
RNAcentral lists this transfer RNA (90 nucleotides) under Chlorobiota bacterium. RNAcentral's name for it is "tRNA-Leu". It matches the Rfam family "tRNA". From Rfam's summary of the family: Transfer RNA (tRNA) molecules are approximately 80 nucleotides in length. Their secondary structure includes four short double-helical elements and three loops (D, anti-codon, and T loops). Lineage: Bacteria; Pseudomonadati; Chlorobiota. The record is from RNAcentral.